RNAcentral lists this ribosomal RNA (497 nucleotides) under uncultured bacterium. RNAcentral's name for it is "partial 16S ribosomal RNA". It matches the Rfam family "Bacterial small subunit ribosomal RNA", at positions 28 to 507 of the family's 1533-position model. The record is from RNAcentral.
GAUGAACGCUGGCGGCGUGCCUAAUACAUGCAAGUCGAGCGAACAGACGAGGAGCUUGCCCCUCUGACGUUAGCGGCGGACGGGUGAGUAACACGUGGAUAACCUACCUAUAAGACUGGGAUACCUUCGGGAAACCGGAGCUAAUACCGGAUAAUAUAUUGAACCGCAUGGUUCAACAGUGAAAGACGGCUUUGCUGUCACUGAUAGAUGGAUCCGCGCCGCAUUAGCUAGUUGGUAAGGUAAAGGCUUUCCAAGGCAACGAUGCGUUGCCGACCUCGGAGGGUGAUCGCCCACCCGGGAACGUAGCCGCCGUCCAGACGCCUGCGGGAGGCACCAGUAUGGUAUGUUCCGCAGUGGGCGAAAGUCUUGCGGAGCGACGCCGCGUGAGUUAUGAAGGUGUUCGGAUCGUAAAGCUCGGUUACGAGUUAUGAACAAAUUUGUAAGUAACUAUGCACAUCUUGACGGUACCUAAUCAGAAAGCCACGGCUAACUACGUG